RNAcentral lists this long non-coding RNA (1103 nucleotides) under Nicotiana benthamiana. RNAcentral's name for it is "long non-coding RNA (NBEN_LNC007099)". Lineage: Eukaryota; Viridiplantae; Streptophyta; Magnoliopsida; Solanales; Solanaceae. The record is from RNAcentral.
CAAAGGUUGAGGGGUCGAUUAGAGGGGUGAGUUCCACCAAAGCGGGAGAGUGGCGGAGAUGCAUAUGGGCUUUGUGUUAGGAAGACUAUUCACCUUAAGGAGAGUUUGGAACGACUUGGGAAUUUUAGUGAUUGAUGAUUGGGGUCUACGGAUCUAACUUGAAGUAUGGGCUAUUAUACGGCAGGAUAUUUGAUAUAGCAGAAAGGAGCUACUUGAAAUGAAGAAGGAUACAACAUAACUUUGAAUUAGAAGGACAUUGCCACACAUUUAAUUGAUGUUCAUGGGGGGGGGGUGAAUGGACUUGUGCAACUAGAGAGUGAGGUCGGACUUCGGAUGGGUUAUUAAUGUCGUAGUGAUUGUACCCCGUGCAUAAGCGUUGGAAGAUGUCGGCACGUAAAUUCCACAAGCGGGUUAUCUCCAGUGAGAUCCGCAAUCACAUGUUUGGCGAAGCUUCUACGAAGAAUUCUAUUGGUUAUACAGCAAAGAGACCGUGCGAAUGUGGUUGAUGAUUAAGAGUAUAAAAUAGUGGCAUACAAAAAAAUUCUGAGAAUUAUGGUGGUUGAUUGCGCAAGGUUAUGUCAAUAAGAGAUAAAGAAUCGUGAUGAAUAUUAGAGUUGUGUAAUACUGGCUUCAAGAUAAGUGGUAAUUUGAAAAAAAGGAAUUGUUAAUGGUAUGCUAUGGUUGGACUUAUUGGCUCAUGUUAAGACUUGGGGAAGGAUUCAGGAUUUAUGCCUUGUAUAAAUGCGGAUUUCAAGGGAAAUGAUUCUACCUGGUGCUUCAUCGAGAGGGUAUUCAUGUUCUAGAAGAUUCGUGGAGUUGAUUAUAUUCGGGGCCAAGUCAGAGCGGGUGGCUCUCAACAACGGUCUUAGUGGAUUCAAAGGGGGAAAAGUGUGGUGCCUAAUGAUUGCAGCCUAUAAGUACGGUUAAGGAUCAAGAUUUGUACCAACUUAUGAGAAGAGGCACAUAUUGUUCUAUGAUGUUUUGACUUGCAGUGUAGCAUUUAGGAGGUGUGAAAUGGUUCGUGGGAUUUGAGACAACAGGGUCUCUUGAUUCAAGUUCACUAGGGAUGAGUGCGGAGGGAGUGUGAUAUGUGUUAAAUGGAG